Long non-coding RNA from Ailuropoda melanoleuca (giant panda), 4013 nucleotides. RefSeq lists it as uncharacterized. The transcript is spliced from 5 exons. The record is from RefSeq and is a predicted model, not a curated record. Lineage: Eukaryota; Metazoa; Chordata; Mammalia; Carnivora; Ursidae.
GUCAAUCACUGGGGCGGUUGGGCGGAGGGGAGGCCAGGGCUCGAGGGGCGGGGAUUUGGAGCCCCUGUAGAAAGAGGCUUUCCGGCGAGCUGGCGUGAUUGGUGGGCUGCACUGACGGAGAUGGACGUGUUUGAGGGCUUCUGGGGAAGGACGCUCAGGAGGUGGAACCCAAGGGGCGGAAUUACGCGGGACCGUAAUGCAGCGUGGCUCGGGGGCUGCAGAGAAAGAGGCUGGCAGAAAAGGAGGAGCCUGCUUUGAAACCGCAAUAGAGGUACCGUUGCAAAAAAAAAAAAAAGUUGUCUUCUUGCCAACCUACCUGAAGGCUACUGGAAAAGGAAACCGCGUGUAAUCCAGAUGCACACUGAAGAGCAUGACAGGCAAUCCCCAAAAUGAUGACUUCAAAGACCCUGACAAAGCCUGAAACUUGAAAUCACUCUAAGGAAUCUCUGCUUUUCUUUCUCAUGGGUUGUCUACCAGAUGCCACCACCACCAGUCAAAAGGGAGCUGAGUCAGUUCAAGAUUAAGAUCUCCAGUGAAUGCCUGAAGGGUAGGCAUUUGGUAUUAUUUAUUGAAGCAAGAGUGGAGGAAGAAGAGAAGAGAACCAUCACAUACAUAUAACAGAGUUCCUGGGAAGGGGCACAGCGAGUUCCUUUGACUCUCAGACAGUGAACACCGCACAGCCACUCCAUAGAAGCCACAAUGAGCUCUGCCUUUUCACAUGUGACUCCAGGAACAAGGAGAAACAAAACCAAUUCCCCCCAGAGGUACAGACAAAGAAGAGCACCCUCCCAGAGGAGCCUGAUGACAAGUGGCCGCGGAGAGCAUCACUGUGAUCAGUCAGAAAGGCAGGCGAGUUAUUAGCUUAGCCCUGAACCUCCUACUUAAUGUAGGACCAGUGGUGAUGGUUAACAGACCCUAGCUGCGGUGACAAGCCUGGGACCUGCUUGAGGAAAUCCAAUUGAAAAGCAGCCAAGAGGAACAACAAGCUAGAAACAGAUGUUCCAGCUACCAGGAUGUGCACACAUUUAACCUGAAUAUGUAGUUGGGGCGGGAUAGAAGCGUUCCUUUCUAAAUAUAGUGAUUUCACCUCUUCCCCCAUAUAGAUAAUGUCAAGUUCAAUUUUAGCCAUCCACAUUCGUUUUGUCAAAUUUUCACCAAUUUCUUUAAAAUAAGAAGAUGUCAAAAUCAUAACAGCUAUUAAGGGAAUUCAGGGUAUGUGACUUACCUGCCACGUUUUGCCAAAACAUUUCAGGUAAAUCAUACACUCUUAAAUUCCGAUCUCAUAGUAAUUGAAAAUUAUCUUAAAAAAAAAAAAGACUGCCCCAAUGAAAUCCAAACAGUUCAUGUAAUUAUUGGAUGUAAUGUUACCACUUGGGUAAACUAGCAUUAAGAGAGUUAUAUUUUUAGCAGUUCCCUUUAGCCACUUCUGGUUACUAAGUAGGGGAGCUUAUGUUGAUAGAGGUGUGAUCACUGUGCAGACAGAGACUAGAGUCCAAGCUUGACAAAAUCAGUUCAUUAGAUUUGAACGAGAGUUGAGUCCUCUGAACCACGGCCAUACGUCAUGUACAUUAGGAAGCAUUCUCCUUUAUGUCAACACAAUUCUGGUUUUCUCUAAUGGGCUUUAGAAGAGGAAAGAGACCAUCUCUCUAUGUUGAUUUUUCUGAAGAAAAAAAUCAAUACUCACAAUAGAUUUUAAGUAGAUCUAAUGUAGUGCAAGAAUAUUCUCACAAGAAGCUAAUAUACAUAAAAGAUUUUAAAAUCUGAAUUACUGCAUGCCACAGUAAGACCAGCUCUUACCCCAAAUUCAUGGUGUUGUGAUGUGUCUCUAAAGCAAAGAAGAGCUACAGACUCUUUUCUCCAGCAACACUUCAUUUUUUAUUGGUAGUUUUUAAUCUGGUACAUUUUUGGGGUCACUGAAUUCUUAUUUGCUUUAGAAUGCCCGAUUAUAUCAUCCUGUAAAGGAGAAAAGAGUGUGAGCCGUCGUUCUGUGCUGAAAUUUAUUGAAGGUAUUUAUGAAGAAGGGUGAUCCUGAGGAAUGCAAGCUUUUAAAAUCCAAGAGCAGCAGCAAAAAUAAAUUAAUCAGGAAUUCAUCACUAAUUUAUACAUGAAUCACAAGGAAGGUAAAACAGUUCAGUAAAUUAUGGAUUUACAAAUAAACUGGAUUCUAGGACCUUGGAAAAUACUUUGACUGGAAAAUAGAUCCAUUUUUCCUAAAAACAAUUUUCACUUCAACUUCAGAGAAAAGGGACAUUAAAAGCCAAUCCCCCUCUAUGAAAAUUCCAGGGGAACUCUUUUCUGAUAACAAGGGAUCAGUGGCGAUGGUUCACAGGGUUCAUCUGCUCUCCGCAAACUCAGGGGUGGGGCCCGUUUCCAACUCAUUCUCAUGAAUUCUAAAUUGUCAACACCUAAGGUUAAUGAUACCUGUCUUUUUGCUGUCAUAAACAGUUAGGGCGGUUUAGCAAGAGAUAAAUCAUCCUCAACAGAGGGUUGUGCUAUUGUUCUCUUCAAACAAAGGAAAAAGCUUAUGUCUAUAUAAAUCUUAAACACGGUUAGAAGAGAAUAGAUUUAUUUUUUUCUUUUAUACUCUGAUGAAAUUCUUAGUCUACAACACAUUUCUUUCCUGAUCUGAAACAUCUCUUUUUUUUUAAAGUUUGUAGAGUAAUAAUGAAGAGUUUCUAUGCAUGAUGGAUCACUCUAAUCUCAAAAUAUGCCCUGAUUUUUUGGAACAGCACAGGAGGAAAGUCAACGAUCCUUUAGAUUAUUAGGUAACCAGUGCCUUGGUCUGAAACAUCCUCCAAUCAAUUGAGGACGAUACUUUCAGCUAUUAAAUAAAUACACAACGAUGAAGUGGGGUUGGAGGGAAUAAGAACAUUGCCAAGAGUAACCAACGAGUUCAUCCAGGAAUAGCUACAGAUGAACAAAAAUUGCUUUUAAUGAAAAAUAUUAAAGAAACUACAAACUACUUUUUUCAUUCAUCCGAAUCUUAAAUAAUUUUUUUCUUUCUGGAAAAUAUGCCUUCUAUGAUUCAACAAGCACACUGCUAAUUUUAGAAUGUGGAGUCAUUAAUGUUAUAAUGUAAGGUUGGAUAUAUUUUGUAUUAUAUGCUUUUAAUACACAUGAAGUAUACAUUAACUAUAAUAUCAGGAUAAUAAACCUAUCAGGUACUCCAUUAGAGUCAUUUAAAUGAAAUAAGGCCAAGAGCUUAGCAACAAAAUAACACAGUGUUCUUAGAGAUAACUUCACCAUUUUCAUAGAGAAUGUCCUUCAGUUAGCAAUAAUUUUGACACAGCGGGAGAUGGCAGCAAUGGUCAGUCAGUCAUGCUAUAAAUAUGUUGUAAUGAAAAAUAUAUCACACCCUCAGAAAUUUGCCAAAAAUAGCAAAUGAAAAAGUACCUAUGAUUCGAUGAAUGGUUUUUCCCUACAGCCUUCCACUCUUGCUCUCUCUGCCACACACACACACACACACACACACACACACACACAGAGCAUGGCACACAUGCUUAACCAGCUCCGGGAACUAGCAGCGUGGCUCUCCCCCUAGGUCUAGCCCUCUGUGUACACGCUAGCAUGCAGACUUAACCACACACCCAGUACAGAUUCUUCCAUUUCACAUCUUUGGCUGAAAUGUUUUCAUCCUUGCCAGACAUUGUGACAAAAACGUUAUUUGCUGCCUCCUCUUAGCCAGCAAACAAAACCCAGUUCUUUGGGGUGCUGCCUAAGCUUCGCUUGCUGAGUCCCCCUGUUUUUGUGUUUCAGGACAAUACAAGUCAGAGGGUGUUCGAGACAGCCCUACCAACUCAUUUUGCAGACAGGCAAGCAAAGUUCCAGAGCGUGACCUGUGCCCAGCACCACCAGGCUGGCCAGGGGCAAGGCUGGUCUGGAAUCCAGGGCUUUGUACUGCUUCCUGCUUCACCUACUCUUCCUCUUUUUUUUUUUAAUAAAGAUUUUUUAUUUAUUCAUUUGAAAGAGCAAGUGAGAGCAUGAGCAGGGGAGAGGGUCAGAGGGAAAAGGAG